Long non-coding RNA from Panicum virgatum (switchgrass), 1052 nucleotides. RefSeq lists it as uncharacterized. The transcript is spliced from 2 exons. The record is from RefSeq and is a predicted model, not a curated record. NCBI's taxonomy places the organism in Eukaryota, Viridiplantae, Streptophyta, Magnoliopsida, Poales, Poaceae.
UGACUCCUAUGAAACUGAAGUUCCUCAAGUAUUGGCAAAACAUCCCUCUUUUGUAUUCCUUUGCUUUUGUUUUGGAUCCAAGGGCCAAGAUGAGAGGAUUUCAUAAUGUCCUCCAGGUUCUUUCUCAUGAUGUUGGUGUUGAUUAUUCUAAUUACUUCACUGAGGUAAGAGCUGAUCUGUACAAACUGUAUAACAAGUAUGAAAACAAGUAUGGUGCAGUUAGGUUGCAGAGGCCCUCCAACAUAUCAGGAUCAUCUGGUAAGAAAAAAAUGCUUGGGGUAAGAUAUAUGGAGCUGCUGGUACAAGUCCCUCUUCUCCUGCUCUUGCAUCAACAUCUUCUCCUGCUGUAUCUGUGCCUCUUGUUUCAGAGUUGGCUUCCUACUUGGACAGCGACACUGUCACAUGCUUUGAUGAUGAUUUUGACAUAAUAAUUUGGUGGCAUGAGCACAAACUGACAUAUCCCAUUCUGUCCAUACUAGCAAAAGAUGUUAUGUCUGUUCCAGUUUCUACUGUCUCUUCGGAAUCUUGCUUUAGUCUCACUGGCAGGGUGAUCGAGGAGCGUCGACGAUGCUUAGCGCCUCAUAAUGUGGAGUACUUGACCUGCGUCAAGGACUGGGAAGCUGCUGAUGCAAGGGCGCAGCAUGAUGUCGAGAAGUUGACGCGAGAUUUGGAGUUAAAGUUUGGCAUCAAGGACAAUGCUGAAGGGCAGGCUGCUGGAAAUGAGUCUGUCCCUGCCAAUGGCUAGUCAUGAGAAGUGAAGGCAAGGGGCCUAGGCAAGAGGCCAGCAGCAUCACCAAGUCAGCAGUAGUGUUUUGCAAUUUGAUCUUCUAUUUGUAAUGUACUAAUGAGUCUGCUGAACUUGAACAAUGUGAUGUAAUUUUGAACAAUUAUAGAGUUGGGCUGUACUCUUUUUCCCUUCCUAGGGUUUCUCACAAGGGUGAGUUUUACCUAGGAAGGUUUUUAAUGAGGCAGCAACACUUGAUCACAUAGAUCAAGUGUUAAAACAGCUCUAUAAUUGUGUUAUCACUUAUCAGUUAAGUGAUAUUUUGCUA